Molecule: ribosomal RNA, 439 nt
Filed under: uncultured bacterium
Lineage: Bacteria
Description: partial 16S ribosomal RNA
Rfam family: Bacterial small subunit ribosomal RNA
Source: RNAcentral
CCUACGGGUGGCAGCAGUGGGGGAUAUUGCACAAUGGAGGAAACUCUGAUGCAGCGACGCCGCGUGAGGGAAGACGGUCUUCGGAUUGUAAACCUCUGUCUGUGGGGAAGAAAAUGACGGUACCCAAAGAGGAAGCUCCGGCUAACGACGUGCCAGCAGCCGCGGUAAUACGUAGGGAGCGAGCGUUGGCCGGAAUUACUGGGUGUUAAGGGAGCGGAGGCGGGCGAGAAAGUUGAAUGUUAACUCUACCGGCUUAACUGGUAGCUGCGUUCCAAACUUCUUGUCUUGAGGGAAGUAGAGGCAGGCGUACUUCCUCGUGUCGCGGUUCAAUGCGUAGAUCUUAGGAGGAACCCCAGUGGCGCAGGCGGCCUGCUGGGCUUUACCUGCCGCUGCGGCUCGACAGCGUGGGGAGCACACAGGAUUCGAUACCCGUGUAGUC